This 119-nucleotide ribosomal RNA is filed under the name Pteropus alecto (black flying fox). The record is from RNAcentral. Lineage: Eukaryota; Metazoa; Chordata; Mammalia; Chiroptera; Pteropodidae.
CAUUAUAGCCAUGCCACCCUGAGCACGCCCGAUUUCGUCAGAUCUUGGAAGCUAAGCAGGGUUGGGCCUGAUUAGUACUUGGAUGGGAGACCACCUAGGAAGACCGGGUGCUGUAGGCU